This 446-nucleotide ribosomal RNA is filed under the name uncultured bacterium. RNAcentral's name for it is "partial 16S ribosomal RNA". It matches the Rfam family "Bacterial small subunit ribosomal RNA", at positions 338 to 795 of the family's 1533-position model. The record is from RNAcentral.
CCUACGGGUGGCAGCAGUCGAGAAUCAUUCACAAUGGGGGAAACCCUGAUGGUGCGACGCCGCGUGGGGGAAUGAAGGUCUUCGGAUUGUAAACCCCUGUCAUGUGGGAGCAAAUUAAAAAGAUAGUACCACAAGAGGAAGAGACGGCUAACUCUGUGCCAGCAGCCGCGGUAAUACAGAGGUCUCAAGCGUUGUUCGGAAUCACUGGGCGUAAAGCGUGCGUAGGCUGUUUCGUAAGUCGUGUGUGAAAGGCGCGGGCUCAACCCGCGGACGGCACAUGAUACUGCGAGACUAGAGUAAGGGAGGGGGAACCGGAAUUCUCGGUGUAGCAGUGAAAUGCGUAGAUAUCGAGAGGAACACUCGUGGCGAAGGCGGGUUCCUGGACAUUAACUGACGCUGAGGCACGGAGGCCAGGGGAGCGAAAGGGAUUAGAUACCCCUGUAGUC